GGUGGGAUUCCCGAGCGGUCAAAGGGGACGGGCUGUAAACCCGUUGGCUCAGCCUUCGAAGGUUCGAAUCCUUCUCCCACCA
This 82-nucleotide transfer RNA is filed under the name Solirubrobacter ginsenosidimutans. RNAcentral describes it as "Solirubrobacter sp. BXN5-15 tRNA". It matches the Rfam family "tRNA". From Rfam's summary of the family: Transfer RNA (tRNA) molecules are approximately 80 nucleotides in length. Their secondary structure includes four short double-helical elements and three loops (D, anti-codon, and T loops). Lineage: Bacteria; Bacillati; Actinomycetota; Thermoleophilia; Solirubrobacterales; Solirubrobacteraceae. RNAcentral also lists the same sequence under 2 other names. The record is from Rfam by way of RNAcentral.